RNAcentral lists this ribosomal RNA (253 nucleotides) under uncultured bacterium. RNAcentral's name for it is "partial 16S ribosomal RNA". It matches the Rfam family "Bacterial small subunit ribosomal RNA", at positions 524 to 776 of the family's 1533-position model. The record is from RNAcentral.
UACGAAGGGGGCAAGCGUUGUUCGGAAUUACUGGGCGUAAAGGGCGCGUAGGCGGCUUAUCAAGUCAGGCGUGAAAUUCCCGGGCUCAACCUGGGGGCUGCGCUUGAUACUGAUUGGCUUGAAUGCGGGAGAGGAUAGUGGAAUUCCCAGUGUAGAGGUGAAAUUCGUAGAUAUUCGCAAGAACACCAGUGGCGAAGGCGGCUCACUGGCCCGGUACUGACGCUGAGGUGCGAAAGCGUGGGGAGCAAACAGG